This 73-nucleotide transfer RNA is filed under the name Mustela putorius furo (domestic ferret). It matches the Rfam family "tRNA". From Rfam's summary of the family: Transfer RNA (tRNA) molecules are approximately 80 nucleotides in length. Lineage: Eukaryota; Metazoa; Chordata; Mammalia; Carnivora; Mustelidae. The record is from Rfam by way of RNAcentral.
GCCUGGCUGGCCCAGCCAGUAGAGCAUGCAACUCUUAAUCUCAGAGUUGUGGGUUCAAGCCCCACGUGGGGUG